CAGUCGCCGCGGUAAUACGUAGGGUGCAAGCGUUAAUCGGAAUUACUGGGCGUAAAGCGUUCGCAGGCGGUUAUAUAAGACAGAUGUGAAAUCCCCGGGCUCAACCUGGGAACUGCAUUUGUGACUGUAUAGCUAGAGUACGGCAGAGGGGGAUGGAAUUCCGCGUGUAGCAGUGAAAUGCGUAGAUAUGCGGAGGAACACCGAUGGCGAAGGCAAUCCCCUGGGCCUGUACUGACGCUCAUGCACGAAAGCGUGGGGAGCAAACAGGAUUAGAUACCCCGGUAGUCCCUGUCUCUUAUAC
This 301-nucleotide ribosomal RNA is filed under the name uncultured bacterium. RNAcentral describes it as "partial 16S ribosomal RNA". It matches the Rfam family "Bacterial small subunit ribosomal RNA", at positions 509 to 807 of the family's 1533-position model. The record is from RNAcentral.